Molecule: ribosomal RNA, 502 nt
Filed under: uncultured bacterium
Lineage: Bacteria
Description: partial 16S ribosomal RNA
Rfam family: Bacterial small subunit ribosomal RNA
Source: RNAcentral
AUUGAACGCUAGCGGCAUGCCUUACACAUGCAAGUCGAACGGCAGCGGGGGAGCUUGCUCCCGCCGGCGAGUGGCGAACGGGUGAGUAAUACAUCGGAACGUACCCAGUAGCGGGGGAUAGCCCGGCGAAAGCCGGAUUAAUACCGCAUACGCCCUACGGGGGAAAGGGGGGGAUCGCAAGACCUCCCACUAUUGGAGCGGCCGGUGGCUGGUUAGCUAGUUGGUGGGGUAAAGGCCUACCAAGGCGACGAUCAGUAGCUGGUCUGAGAGGACGACCAGCCACACUGGGACUGAGACACGGCCCAGACUCCUACGGGAGGCAGCAGUGGGGAAUUUUGGACAAUGGGCGAAAGCCUGAUCCAGUAAUGCCGCGUGUGCGAAGAAGGCCUUCGGGUUGUAAAGCACUUUUGUCAGGGAAGAAAUCGUUUGGGUUAAUACCCCGAGCAGUUGACGGUACCUGAAGAAUAAGCACCGGCUAACUACGUGCCAGCCGCCGCAGUAA